GGGAACCCUGACGCAGCCACGCCGCGUGCCGGAAGACGGCCCUAUGGGUUGUAAACGGCUUUUAUUAGAGAAGAACCCGGGUCUUUCGAGACCCGCUGACGGUAUCUAACGAAUCAGCACCGGCUAACUUCGUGCCAGCAGCCGCGGUAAUACGAAGGGUGCAAGCGUUAAUCGGAAUUACUGGGCGUAAAGCGGAGUGUAGGCGGUUUCGUGUGUCGGAUGUGAAAGCCCCGGGCUCAACCUGGGAAUUGCAUUCGAAACUGCGGAACUAGAAUAUGGUAGAGGAAGACGGAAUUCCACGUGUAGCGGUGAAAUGCGUAGAUAUGUGGAGGAACACCAAUGGCGAAGGCAGUCUUCUGGGCCAAUAUUGACGCUGAGGCUCGAAAGCGUGGGUAGCAAACAGGAUUAGAUACCCUGGUAGUCCACGCCGUAAACGAUGAGAACUAGACGUUGGUUGACAUAGUCGAUCAGUGUCGCAGCUAACGCGUUAAGUUCUCCGCCUGGGGAGUACGGUCGCAAGACUA
This 524-nucleotide ribosomal RNA is filed under the name uncultured bacterium. Its description in RNAcentral is "bacterial SSU rRNA". It matches the Rfam family "Bacterial small subunit ribosomal RNA", at positions 376 to 896 of the family's 1533-position model. The record is from RNAcentral.